UGGUGGGAUGACUUGUCUGCUUAAUUGCGAUAACGAACGAGACCUUAACCUGCUAAAUAGCCCGCACUGCUCCGGCAGUGCGCUGGCUUCUUAGAGGGACUUUCGGCUCAAGCCGAAGGAAGUUUGAGGCAAUAACA
This 137-nucleotide ribosomal RNA is filed under the name uncultured eukaryote. RNAcentral's name for it is "partial 18S ribosomal RNA". It matches the Rfam family "Eukaryotic small subunit ribosomal RNA", at positions 1299 to 1458 of the family's 1831-position model. The record is from RNAcentral.